GGAGGGUGCAAGCGUUAUCCGGAUUUAUUGGGUUUAAAGGGUCCGCAGGCGGACUAAUAAGUCAGUGGUGAAAUCUCUCGGCUCAACCGAGAAACUGCCAUUGAUACUGUUAGUCUAGAGUGUAGUUGGCGUAGGCGGAAUGUAUCAUGUAGCGGUGAAAUGCUUAGAUAUGAUACAGAACACCGAUCACGAAGGCAGCUUACGAAACUACAACUGACGCUCAGGGACGAAAGCGUGGGGAGCGAACAGGAUUAGAUACCCUGGUAGUCCACGCCGUAAACGAUGAUUACUCGUUGUCGGCAAUAUACAGUCGGUGGCUAAGCGAAAGCGAUAAGUAAUCCACCUGGGGAGUACGAUCGCAAGGUUGAAACUCAAAGGAAUUGACGGGGGCCCGCACAAGCGGAGGAGCAUGUGGUUUAAUUCGAUGAUACGCGAGGAACCUUACCUGGGCUUAAAUGCUUAAUGACUUACUGGGAAACCGGUAUUUCUUCGGACAUUUUGCAAGGUGCUGCAUGGUUGUCGUCAGCUCGUGCCGUGAGGUGUCGGGUUAAGUCCCAUAACGAGCGCAACCCCUAUUGUUAGUUGCCAUCAGGUAAUGCUGGGGACUCUAACAAAACUGCCCGCGUAAGCGUGGAGGAAGGUGGGGAUGACGUCAAAUCAGCACGGCCCUUACGUCCAGGGCUACACACGUGCUACAAUGGCCGAUACAGAGGGCAGCCACUUGGUGACAAGGAGCAAAUCUCAAAAGUCGGUCUCAGUUCGGAUCGGAGUCUGCAACUCGACUCCGUGAAGUUGGAUUCGCUAGUAAUCGUAGAUCAGCAACGCUACGGUGAAUACGUUCCCCGGCCUU
This 850-nucleotide ribosomal RNA is filed under the name uncultured organism. RNAcentral describes it as "bacterial SSU rRNA". It matches the Rfam family "Bacterial small subunit ribosomal RNA", at positions 527 to 1382 of the family's 1533-position model. The record is from RNAcentral.